RNAcentral lists this ribosomal RNA (497 nucleotides) under uncultured bacterium. RNAcentral describes it as "partial 16S ribosomal RNA". It matches the Rfam family "Bacterial small subunit ribosomal RNA", at positions 28 to 507 of the family's 1533-position model. The record is from RNAcentral.
GAUGAACGCUGGCGGCGUGCCUAAUACAUGCAAGUCGAGCGAACGGACGAGAAGCUUGCUUCUCUGAUGUUAGCGGCGGACGGGUGAGUAACACGUGGAUAACCUACCUAUAAGACUGGGAUAACUUCGGGAAACCGGAGCUAAUACCGGAUGAUAUUUCGAACCGCAUGGUUCAAAAGUGAAAGACGGUCUUGCUGUCACUUAUAGAUGGAUCCGCGCUGCAUUAGCUAGUUGGUAAGGUAACGGCUUACCAAGGCAACGAUGCAUAGCCGACCUGAGAGGGUGAUCGGCCACACUGGAACUGAGACACGGUCCAGACUCCUACGGGAGGCAGCAGUAGGGAAUCUUCCGCAAUGGGCGAAAGCCUGACGGAGCAACGCCGCGUGAGUGAUGAAGGUCUUCGGAUCGUAAAACUCUGUUAUUAGGGAAGAGCAUAUGUGUAAGUAACUGUGCACAUCUUGACGGUACCUAAUCAGAAAGCCACGGCUAACUACGUG